UUGAAAGGGAAACGAUUGAAGUCAGUCGUACCUGUGGGUAAUCAGCCUUUUGGGUGUGAUUUUGUGGAGUGUGAGGAGUUAAACGCCUUCAUGCCUGCAUAUUCGUGCACUUUGGGUGUAUUUACCCGUGUGGUAAGUUAACAUCAAUUUCGGUGAUCAUAAAAUGGCUGGAGGAAUGUAGCUUCGAUCUUGUAUUGAAGUGUUAUAGCCUUCGGUAGAUGUGAUGAUCGGGAUUGAGGAUUGCAACGGAUACCCCUCGGGGCUACCUGUCUGAUCUCUGAUCGUUGCUCUGGUGCCGAAAGCUUGCUUACGGUUAUCAAAGUCGAUGGUUAAUAGGUUAGAACGGGUUAAAUUCGUUAAGGAUGUUGACGUA
RNAcentral lists this ribosomal RNA (373 nucleotides) under uncultured Glomeromycotina. RNAcentral describes it as "LSU rRNA". Lineage: Eukaryota; Fungi; Glomeromycota. The record is from RNAcentral.